Molecule: ribosomal RNA, 466 nt
Filed under: Pseudoclavibacter sp.
Lineage: Bacteria; Bacillati; Actinomycetota; Actinomycetes; Micrococcales; Microbacteriaceae
Description: bacterial SSU rRNA
Source: RNAcentral
GGACGAACGCUGGCGGCGUGCUUAACACAUGCAAGUCGAACGAUGAAGCYGGAGCUUGCUCUGGUGGAUUAGUGGCGAACGGGUGAGUAACACGUGAGCAACGUGCCCAAGACUCUGGAAUAACUUCGGGAAACCGGAGCUAAUACUGGAUACGAGACGUAAAGGCAUCUUUAGCGUCUGGAAAGAAUUUCGGUCUUGGAUCGGCUCACGGCCUAUCAGCUUGUUGGUGAGGUAAUGGCUCACCAAGGCGACGACGGGUAGCCGGCCUGAGAGGGUGACCGGCCACACUGGGACUGAGACACGGCCCAGACUCCUACGGGAGGCAGCAGUGGGGAAUAUUGCACAAUGGGCGCAAGCCUGAUGCAGCAACGCCGCGUGAGGGAUGACGGCCUUCGGGUUGUAAACCUCUUUUAGUAGGGAAGAAGCGAGAGUGACGGUACCUGCAGAAAAAGCACCGGCUAACUAC